Molecule: ribosomal RNA, 554 nt
Filed under: uncultured bacterium
Lineage: Bacteria
Description: bacterial SSU rRNA
Rfam family: Bacterial small subunit ribosomal RNA
Source: RNAcentral
AGAGUUUGAUCAUGGCUCAGGAUGAACGCUAGCGGCAGGCCUAACACAUGCAAGUCGAGGGGUAACAUAGAAAAGCUUGCUUUUCUGAUGACGACCGGCGCACGGGUGCGUAACGCGUAUACAACCUACCUUUUAGCGGGGAAUAGCCCAGGGAAACUUGGAUUAAUGCCCCAUAGUAUAUGGACUUCUCCUGAAGUUUAUAUUAAACAUUUAUGGCUAUUAGAUGGGUAUGCGUCCUAUUAGUUAGUUGGUAAGGUAACGGCUUACCAAGGCAGCGAUAGGUAGGGGUCCUGAGAGGGAGAUCCCCCACACUGGUACUGAGACACGGACCAGACUCCUACGGGAGGCAGCAGUGAGGAAUAUUGGACAAUGGGCGAGAGCCUGAUCCAGCCAUGCCGCGUGCAGGAAGACUGCCCUAUGGGUUGUAAACUGCUUUUACAGAGGAAGAACCACCCCCACGUGUGGGGGUUUGACGGUACUCUGCGAAUAAGGAUCGGCUAACUCCGUGCCAGCAGCCGCGGUAAUACGGAGGAUCCAAGCGUUAUCCGGAAUCA